GACGAACGCUGGCGGCGCGCUUAACACAUGCAAGUCGAGCGAGAACCAGUCCUUCGGGGCUGGGGACAGCGGCGAACGGGUGAGUAACACGUGGGUAAUCUGCCCUCGGCACCGGGAUAGCCCGGGGAAACCCGGAUUAAUACCGGAUGGCCUUGCCGGCUCUCGGGCUGGCGAGAAAAGGUAGCUUCGGCCUCCGGCCGAGGAUGAGCCCGCGGCCGAUUAGCUUGUUGGUGGGGUAACGGCUCACCAAGGCGACGAUCGGUAGCUGGUCUGAGAGGACGAUCAGCCACACUGGGACUGAGACACGGCCCAGACUCCUACGGGAGGCAGCAGUGGGGAAUCUUGCGCAAUGGGCGAAAGCCUGACGCAGCGACGCCGCGUGCGGGAAGAAGGCCUUCGGGUUGUAAACCGCUUUCAGGAGGGACGAGGCCACUCGGGUGAAUAGCCCAGAGGGUGACGGUACCUCCAGAAGAAGCCCCGGCUAACUACGUGCCAGCAGCCGCGGUAAUACGUAGGGGGCUAGCGUUGUCCGGAUUUAUUGGGCGUAAAGAGCGUGUAGGCGGCCAGGUAGGUCUGGUGUGAAAACUCGAGGCUUAACCUCGAGAUGUCAUCGGAAACCAUCUGGCUAGAGUCCGGAAGAGGAGAGUGGAAUUCCUGGUGUAGCGGUGAAAUGCGCAGAUAUCAGGAAGAACACCAAUGGCGAAGGCAGCUCUCUGGGACGGUACUGACGCUGAGACGCGAAAGCGUGGGGAGCGAACAGGAUUAGAUACCCUGGUAGUCCACGCCGUAAACGAUGGGCGCUAGGUGUGGGCGGUGUCGACUCCGUCCGUGCCGAAGCUAACGCAUUAAGCGCCCCGCCUGGGGAGUACGGCCGCAAGGCUA
This 882-nucleotide ribosomal RNA is filed under the name uncultured bacterium. Its description in RNAcentral is "bacterial SSU rRNA". It matches the Rfam family "Bacterial small subunit ribosomal RNA", at positions 28 to 896 of the family's 1533-position model. The record is from RNAcentral.